This 1253-nucleotide long non-coding RNA is filed under the name Capra hircus (goat). RNAcentral describes it as "lncRNA (ENSCHIG00010018096.1)". The record is from RNAcentral. Lineage: Eukaryota; Metazoa; Chordata; Mammalia; Artiodactyla; Bovidae.
GUUAAUCCAGCAUUGCUGCUCUGGGCCCCCGUGGCUUUGCCAUAGGACAGAUGGCUCUCUCAGCUGCCAAAGGUCUGAAUCCUGCCUGGAGGGAGGUCCCCAGUGUCUGGGGAGGCCCAGUCAGACAGAGAUCCCUCAUGUCUUUUCAGAACAGGAAAAAGGGGCCACAGGCCAAGAGAUGGAAAGCAAGCGUGCAGCUAGGUUGCAGAGCCCAGAGUUUCUCUCAGCCCCCAGGAGGGUGGGUGGCCGGAGUAGACAUGCGGUUGGGAGAAUGUUAGCAAAGGAGAGCCGCAGUGUGAGUUGGGGUGGGGUGCCUCUGUGUUGACCUCCUUUCACCCCCAGAGAUUCUGUAAGUCCUUCUAGGCAAGAGGAAACCGAGGGGUGAGGCAAAACCUACCUACGUUGUACCCCCACCCCCUGGCCAGGCCAGAGGGGAUGGAGGCAGAGGCCACUGAUUCUGGAUGAAUACAGCUUCUUUGAGGUCAUUCAUCGGUUUGGGACUCCCGCACCAUCCUCUUGGCUGACUUGUACAAGCAGAGCCUUGGAGAGGGUGGUCUUUGCAACCAGCGGACCCUGAGACAGUACUAGCUCAGGGUGUACCCUGUGGGGCCUUAGCCAAGCUCCAGGGAGCUAUCACGUUUUCUUGCCAGUAAAUCCUGGCCUCUCUGGGACGCUGGGAGGCAGUUAACUGGCGAGGGAAUUGGGAGAGUCAAGGGAUCUGUCCAAGGUGCCAGGGAAUUAAUGGCAGGCCUGGAGCUAGAACGGAGCUCUGGACUGUCAAAGUUAGGCCGAGAGAAGACCUCAGGUUGGAGGGUCCUUAGCCUGAGGAUGGAAGAGGGCGUGGAUGCCACUGCCUCAUGCGAGUGCUUGCCACCUGCUCCUCCCUGCCCGGCGUCCCUCUUCGGUCCGCGCUCGGGUCCUCCUGUCCGCACUGCGGCCCUCCGGGCUGAGACUAUUUCCUGGGUUUCCCUUACUGCACACUUCAAAAACUAACCCUGGUCUCCAUCCCUUGUGGGGCCCUGAACUCCUCGGCGACCGCUCGGUCCCCAGUCCCCAUGGCAACAGCGGUGACCUCACUCUGGGCUCGGUUUACUACUCGGGUGAGGUCACCGGCCGUUGCCAAGGGAACGAGGGGGGGUUGCAAAGAGUCGGAAAGCGGGCGACCGUGGGGGCGGGGAUCGGUGUGGACUGCCAAAGGUGCGGACUGACAUGCGGAGGAGGCGGCGGCCUCGCGCGUCCUCGAGGGGGCAGGA